RNAcentral lists this ribosomal RNA (463 nucleotides) under Vreelandella stevensii. RNAcentral's name for it is "partial 16S ribosomal RNA". It matches the Rfam family "Bacterial small subunit ribosomal RNA", at positions 338 to 794 of the family's 1533-position model. Lineage: Bacteria; Pseudomonadati; Pseudomonadota; Gammaproteobacteria; Oceanospirillales; Halomonadaceae. The record is from RNAcentral.
CCUAGGGUGGCAGCAGUGGGGAAUAUUGGACAAUGGGCGAAAGCCUGAUCCAGCCAUGCCGCGUGUGUGAAGAAGGCCUUCGGGUUGUAAAGCACUUUCAGUGGGGAAGAAAGCCUUGGGGCUAAUACCCUCGAGGAAGGACAUCACCCACAGAAGAAGCACCGGCUAACUCCGUGCCAGCAGCCGCGGUAAUACGGAGGGUGCGAGCGUUAAUCGGAAUUACUGGGCGUAAAGCGCGCGUAGGCGGUCUGAUAAGCCGGUUGUGAAAGCCCCGGGCUCAACCUGGGAACGGCAUCCGGAACUGUCAGGCUAGAGUGCAGGAGAGGAAGGUAGAAUUCCCGGUGUAGCGGUGAAAUGCGUAGAGAUCGGGAGGAAUACCAGUGGCGAAGGCGGCCUUCUGGACUGACACUGACGCUGAGGUGCGAAAGCGUGGGUAGCAAACAGGAUUAGAUACCCGAGUAGC